GAUGAACGCUGGCGGCGUGCCUAAUACAUGCAAGUCGAGCGAACGGACGAGAAGCUUGCUUCUCUGAUGUUAGCGGCGGACGGGUGAGUAACACGUGGAUAACCUACCUAUAAGACUGGGAUAACUUCGGGAAACCGGAGCUAGUACCGGAUAAUAUUUUGAACCGCAUGGUUCAAAAGUGAAAGCCGGUCUUGCUGUCACUUAUAGAUGGAUCCGCGCUGCAUUAGCUAGUUGGUAAGGUAACGGCUUACCAAGGCAACGAUGCAUAGCCGACCUGAGAGGGUGAUCGGCCACACUGGAACUGAGACACGGUCCAGACUCCUACGGGAGGCAGCAGUAGGGAAUCUUCCGCAAUGGGCGAAAGCCUGACGGAGCAACGCCGCGUGAGUGAUGAAGGUCUUCGGAUCGUAAAACUCUGUUAUUAGGGAAGAACAUAUGUGUAAGUAACUGUGCACAUCUUGACGGUACCUAAUCAGAAAGCCACGGCUAACUACGUG
RNAcentral lists this ribosomal RNA (497 nucleotides) under uncultured bacterium. Its description in RNAcentral is "partial 16S ribosomal RNA". It matches the Rfam family "Bacterial small subunit ribosomal RNA", at positions 28 to 507 of the family's 1533-position model. The record is from RNAcentral.